This 427-nucleotide ribosomal RNA is filed under the name uncultured bacterium. Its description in RNAcentral is "bacterial SSU rRNA". It matches the Rfam family "Bacterial small subunit ribosomal RNA", at positions 355 to 774 of the family's 1533-position model. The record is from RNAcentral.
UGGGGAAUUUUGGACAAUGGGCGCAAGCCUGAUCCAGCCAUGCCGCGUGCAGGAUGAAGGCCUUCGGGUUGUAAACUGCUUUUGUACGGAACGAAACGGCUCUGGUUAAUACCUGGGGCUAAUGACGGUACCGUAAGAAUAAGCACCGGCUAACUACGUGCCAGCAGCCGCGGUAAUACGUAGGGUGCGAGCGUUAAUCGGAAUUACUGGGCGUAAAGCGUGCGCAGGCGGUUAUAUAAGACAGAUGUGAAAUCCCCGGGCUCAACCUGGGAACUGCAUUUGUGACUGUAUAGCUAGAGUACGGCAGAGGGGGAUGGAAGUCCGCGUGUAGCAGUGAAAUGCGUAGAUAUGCGGAGGAACACCGAUGGCGAAGGCAAUCCCCUGGGCCUGCACUGACGCUCAUGCACGAAAGCGUGGGGAGCAAACA